Molecule: long non-coding RNA, 2427 nt
Organism: Centrocercus urophasianus (Greater sage-grouse)
Lineage: Eukaryota; Metazoa; Chordata; Aves; Galliformes; Phasianidae
Exons: 4
Source: RefSeq, a predicted model, not a curated record
CAGGGGAGCGGGGCGGAGGGAAGCGGGUGGCCCCCCUGCACACCCCUCCCUUACACUCCUCCCGCUGCCCGGCCGGGUGCGGCGCUCUCCCUGAGCCCCGCUGCCGCUCGGCUCUCCCAAAGUAGUUCCCGCGGCUCUGCCUCACGCCUUUCCCGGGAGCCGCCGCGGAGGGAUACGUGCCACAGCGCUGUGCGCUGAGUGCUGAGUGGGGCGCCGCGCGGGCCGGGACCGGCGGGGCUGAUGGGUACCCCGCGGGGGAGCUCCCGCCGGGAUCCGUGUGCGCCGGGCCCGCGGGAUGGAGGCGCGAAGAGGGGCAGAUUCCUGCCAAUGAAGUCUUGAGAUAUUGUCUGCUUGCUGCUGUGCCCUCCUGAAUGAACCUAGUGAUUACCUGUAUUCAAACUGAUAACAAUCUGAGCAGCACUCCUGAGAAAACACUUUUCCACAAGAUGCCUCAAAGUCAUUCAGUCACAGAAUUCCACCAACGUACCACACACAAUCAAUAGUUGCCCAAGUAAAAUAGAUACUUGGAAGCAUUUUUAAGAGUAAACUACUGAAUCUUCUCUUCUGAUGUUGAAAUUCUUCUGGUUUUGGGGUUUGUUUUUUUUUUUUUUUUUUUCAGCGUAACAUCUUUUUGUUUGUUUAAUUAUUUUUUAAUUAAACUAAUAAAUGUGAUCUUCAUAACUUGGAAUGAACCACCAUAUUUUUCAGUAGGGCCAAUGGUAUUUUGUUUAUGAGCACCACAGUUUAUUGCCAAAAGCCACUUGAGGCUAAAUUCAGAACUUUUGAAAUGCUGUGGACAAUUCAUUAAGUAUGUAGGCAAAGAUAUUUUCCUACACAUCAAGUAAAUUGGAGUUUUCAUUAGGGAGACAGCUACACAUUUUAAAAUUUUAUGUCUAAAAGUUCUUAUCUACACUCUUCUUCGUCACUACCAAGCAAGAUGUGCUGCUGAGUUAGGUAGUAUUAUUCCUUUGUGCAAGCAAAAAGCACCAGUAAAUUUCAGAGUUAUGCGAUUCAAUGAAAGCAAAGACACAUAUUACACACGUUACAUAGUAAUUACUCAGAGACCAGCUAAGAAAAAAAGCAUCACUGUAAAACUAGAAGAUUGUUUCAUUGUAAAACUAAAGGAUUACCUUGAACAGAUAGGAUGGUUGGAUACAAAUUUUUCUUAAUGCACAAGCAUUUCCUCUUUAUUUAUUUAAAAGUUUAUUUUAUUAUCCGGUAUCAUCUCAACACUAGGAAGCUCAGGCUUAAGGACUUCAUGUCAGCAUCCUGAUGAACUUCUGGUCAUGUUUGUUCUAAAAUUUUUGAAACAAACCCCAGGGGGUCUCACAUGAUUUAUUCAAGGCAAAUGCUGCUGUCUCAGACAGAAAAAUGAUUGCAAGUGUUUUGAUAAAGAAAUUAUAAAGUGCUUAAGCAGGCAUUUUAAACUGCUUCUUACAAAGAAACUGUUCUGAACAAAAAGCAAAUCAAUACAACAUCAGUUCAUGAUGGUACAACAGGUGGAAUGUCUAUCUGUCACAAGAAAUACAUUAAAAAAGUCAUCAAGGUGCAUAAAGAACAGUCUUGCAGGUUCUGUUUCACUGCCUCCUCUGAAGUCUAGGUAUAUCGCCAUAGGACAGUCAGAUUCUUACUGGCCUACUCUCUAUAUUAACCUAGUUUGGCCAACAAAUCUAAUUACAGGUAAGAGUACUCCUACUUUUAAAAGGCCCUUUUAUAUAUAUAUAGUUCUCAUUUAUAAUAUCUGUAAGAAAAAUGACACAGCAGAAUGUGGGUUCUUUGGAGAUAACAUGCCUGGUGGCUUUUCUUUCAUAUCCAUAAAUAUUCACUGAAGGUGAUCAUUUCUCGUUGAAGACAGAAACAGAACUUCUACUCAUUUCAGGCUCUGAGCCUCAGUGCAAGAACCAUAUGAGCUACUAUCUUCUGAGCAUGGAAACCUCAAGGAAACCCAAAGGAUUCUUAAGAAAACUCAGGACCGAAGUACACAGACUGGAGCCUUCAGAAGUAGUUCAGAAAAUUAAAAUCAGAACAUCAUCUCUUUGAGACUAUAACAUUUUAAUCCAUUUUCUCAUCUCAGAGUGAAACAAAAGCUGAAAUUCUUGUUUAUUGUGCUGAACAAAAUAUUUAGAAAAAAAUCCAGUGCAGAAAUAAGGCAAUACUUAAUUUCAGCUUUUUCACAACUGAAACACUUUCAUAUGGCCAAACUGAAGUGGUGUAUUUAAUAUUCAGACCACAUGUCUUUAAUGAAGCACCACCCAUUGCAUUUGAAAAGAGUCCCAACUCCAUAAGAGAGAGCAUGGCUAUGAGACAUAUAGCAAAACAGCUGCAGAGGGAUACACGUUUCAGUAUAUACUGACUUAAAAUGAAACAUUUCAGAUUAGUUCAGCAAACCAGAAUAUUUUGUUUCAUAUUCAGCCAACUGGAAAGUAU